This 633-nucleotide long non-coding RNA is filed under the name Coturnix japonica (Japanese quail). RNAcentral's name for it is "lncRNA (ENSCJPG00005018580.1)". The record is from RNAcentral. Lineage: Eukaryota; Metazoa; Chordata; Aves; Galliformes; Phasianidae.
GGACAUGGCUCUUGCUUCCUUUCUGAGCAGGCCAAGGACCUACAGUUCAUAACUGCCCCAUAUUUUUGGUAAACUGAGGGAAAAGCCUGUAUCCUGACAAAUCUGUCUGUCACUUACAGGUUUACAUGAGUUCAAGGGCGGAAGUUCAUCAGAGAGAAAUCCACCAAGAUUAAGGACAUAGUGACUGCAGUAUUUGCAAGAAGUUGCUGAGCAGUAAUUGUUGGAAGUGGACACCAGUGGAAAGUACCAAAUAUGUCUGCUGAAGUUUAUUCCUCCUUGAGUGCCUAUUGUGGCUGCUGAUGGAGACAAGAUACUGAACUGUGAACUUUCAGCCUGCCUUGAUAUUUUCUUCGAGGAGAUUAUUCAUGGAGCAAGGAUCUAAAAUAAAAAUUGAGGAGGAUGGAGCAAAGCUGGGCUUUGGUAACAGAUGCUCAUUGUGACGUGAACGUAAUUUCAGUACCUGCAGAGGAGAAAUGACGACCGGAGCCACUCAAGCUUAAAGGUUAGUUUAUUUCAAAUGAUUUUGACGUCAAUAGGCAGCGAUAUAUAUAUAGCAAAAUAUUUUUCCUCCUUACCACAGGGCCUUUAAAAGGAUAUCUUUGUUGUGUUAGUUGCCAUAGCAGUGACUAGCAU